AUGCGCGAAAGCGUGAUAGGGGAACUCUGAGUGGCAGCCGGUUUUUGCCGACUGUCUUUUGGCGAACCUAAACCGUUCGCAGAAUAAGUUCUGGGUAAGACCAGUGCCAGCCGCCAUGCGCAUACGCAUAUUGCGCACGGUAUGCGGUAAUACUGGCAGAACGAGUGGUGCCCACGAAUAUUGGGUCUAAAGAGACCGUAGCUGGCCCGUUAAGUCCACUGUGAAAUCUUGGGGCUCAACUCCAAGGCGUGCAGUGAUACUGGCAGGCUUGAGAGCGGGGGAGGUCAGGGGUACUUACGGGGUAUGAGUAAAAUCAGUUGAUCCUGUAAGGACCACCAGUGGCGAAGGCGCCUGACCAAAACGCGUCUGACAGUGAGGGUCGAAGGCUAGGAGAACGAAUCGGAUUAGAUACCCGAGUAGCCCUAGCAGUAAAUUAUGCAGACUGUGGUGUUGCUCUGGCUUCGGGCCAUGGCAGUGCUGUAGCGUAGGUGUUAAGUCUGCCACCUGGGGAGUACG
This 516-nucleotide ribosomal RNA is filed under the name uncultured archaeon. RNAcentral's name for it is "bacterial SSU rRNA". It matches the Rfam family "Archaeal small subunit ribosomal RNA", at positions 355 to 839 of the family's 1478-position model. The record is from RNAcentral.